GACGAACGCUGGCGGCGUGCUUAACACAUGCAAGUCGAACGGAAAGGCGCUGCUUUUGUGGGGUGCUCGAGUGGCGAACGGGUGAGUAACACGUGAGUAACCUGCCCUUGACUUUGGGAUAACUUCAGGAAACUGGGGCUAAUACCGGAUAGGAGCUCCUGCUGCAUGGUGGGGGUUGGAAAGUUUCGGCGGUUGGGGAUGGACUCGCGGGUUAUCAGCUUGUUGGUGGGGUAGUGGCUUACCAAGGCUUUGACGGGUAGCCGGCCUGAGAGGGUGACCGGGCACCAUGGGCCUGAGGGACGGAGCAGAAGGGAAUGGGCGGCAGUGGUGGGGAAUCUGGCGGAAUGGCCCGAAGCGUGAUGCGACAACGCCGCGAGCGGAAUGCCGGCUUAUGGGUUGAAAACCGAUUUGGAAUGAGCCGAAGAGUGAGUGACGGUACCGGGUCAAGAAGCCCCGGCUAACUACGUG
This 468-nucleotide ribosomal RNA is filed under the name uncultured bacterium. Its description in RNAcentral is "partial 16S ribosomal RNA". It matches the Rfam family "Bacterial small subunit ribosomal RNA", at positions 28 to 507 of the family's 1533-position model. The record is from RNAcentral.